ACAAUUUUAACCUGAACACGGCUAACCGCUUGCAUUCACUUUGAAUGACAUUUAAUUUUAUGUCUGCUUGCAGAAACAUGACAUAUUCAAGAAAAGAAUUGAUUCUCAUGGUAAUGUAAUAGAAGAAAGGCAGGAGGGUAUUGGUGCUCCCAAGAUUGAAAAGCCUUUACAAAGACAUGGUGGAAGACUUGAACACAAUGAGACAUACUGUGGUUCAUGCUAUGGUGCAGAAGCGUCAGAUAAUGAUUGUUGUAACUCUUGUGAAGAUGUUCGUGAAGCAUAUCGAAAGAAAGGUUGGGCGAUAUCAAAUCCAGAUAUGAUUGAUCAGUCAUCUGUAGGAAAACAUCACACAACUCUCUUUGGAAUUACACUCGCCACCAAAUAUUAUAAACACUUGCCACCAUGUGCUGAAGCGGGCUAUAAACAACUAGACCAAGUGAAACCGUGACAGAGAAAGAAAGAUACAGCUUAGGUGAAGUGUAGCUUUAUUCUUCUUUCUUUUUAUAUAUUUAUUUAUAUUUUUUGUGUGUUUCUGAUCUACAAUACUCCUGUUUCUGAUUUGCUUUAAACCUUUCCCAACCCUAGAAAUUUUGUUGCAUAACCCUAAUUUGUUGCCCAUCCAUCACAAUGGCUCAAGCCUAGUACUUAGGAGAACACAAAACAGUCCUAUGUUCUUGUUCACGGGUUACUGUUCACAGUGCAGGAACAACCCCAGAACCAAGGUUUUAAAAAGCGACUGUAACAGUUACGUAACACCAUUACGUAACGGUUGUGGUGGUUACUGCCACCCGUUACGGCUACUUUUGCGGUGUGAUUGAGAUUCACAGGUGUGUCAGUCGUAGCGGCUGCCGUAACGGUGUCGUAACGGUUCCAAACUAUUCUUUUAAAAAAAUUAAAAAAUUAAAAAAAAAAUCUAAAAAUGGGAGAAGAUGGAGGAGUAAGAGAUAAAGAGAGAGAGAAGAGGGAAGAUGAAGA
Molecule: non-coding RNA, 975 nt
Organism: Camellia sinensis
Lineage: Eukaryota; Viridiplantae; Streptophyta; Magnoliopsida; Ericales; Theaceae
Source: RefSeq, a predicted model, not a curated record